RNAcentral lists this ribosomal RNA (713 nucleotides) under Lactococcus lactis. Its description in RNAcentral is "bacterial SSU rRNA". It matches the Rfam family "Bacterial small subunit ribosomal RNA", at positions 63 to 759 of the family's 1533-position model. The record is from RNAcentral. Lineage: Bacteria; Bacillati; Bacillota; Bacilli; Lactobacillales; Streptococcaceae.
UGAGCGCUGAAGGUUGGUACUUGUACCGACUGGAUGAGCAGCGAACGGGUGAGUAACGCGUGGGGAAUCUGCCUUUGAGCGGGGGACAACAUUUGGAAACGAAUGCUAAUACCGCAUAAAAACUUUAAACACAAGUUUUAAGUUUGAAAGAUGCAAUUGCAUCACUCAAAGAUGAUCCCGCGUUGUAUUAGCUAGUUGGUGAGGUAAAGGCUCACCAAGGCGAUGAUACAUAGCCGACCUGAGAGGGUGAUCGGCCACAUUGGGACUGAGACACGGCCCAAACUCCUACGGGAGGCAGCAGUAGGGAAUCUUCGGCAAUGGACGAAAGUCUGACCGAGCAACGCCGCGUGAGUGAAGAAGGUUUUCGGAUCGUAAAACUCUGUUGGUAGAGAAGAACGUUGGUGAGAGUGGAAAGCUCAUCAAGUGACGGUAACUACCCAGAAAGGGACGGCUAACUACGUGCCAGCAGCCGCGGUAAUACGUAGGUCCCGAGCGUUGUCCGGAUUUAUUGGGCGUAAAGCGAGCGCAGGUGGUUUAUUAAGUCUGGUGUAAAAGGCAGUGGCUCAACCAUUGUAUGCAUUGGAAACUGGUAGACUUGAGUGCAGGAGAGGAGAGUGGAAUUCCAUGUGUAGCGGUGAAAUGCGUAGAUAUAUGGAGGAACACCGGUGGCGAAAGCGGCUCUCUGGCCUGUAACUGACACUGAGGCUCGAAAG